UAUUGCACAAUGGAGGAAACUCUGAUGCAGCGAUGCCGCGUGAGGGAAGAAGGUUUUCGGAUUGUAAACCACUGUCUUAAGGGACGAUAAUGACGGUACCUUAGGAGGAAGCUCCGGCUAACUACGUGCCAGCAGCCGCGGUAAUACGUAGGGAGCGAGCGUUGUCCGGAGUUACUGGGUGUAAAGGGAGUGUAGGCGGGAUGGUAAGUUAGGUGUGAAAUGCGGAGGCUCAACCUCCGAGCUGCACUUAAAACUGCUGUUCUUGAGUGAAGUAGAGGUUGGCGGAAUUCCCAGUGUAGCGGUGAAAUGCGUAGAUAUUGGGGGGAACAUCAGUGGCGAAGGCGGCCAACUGGGCUUUUACUGACGCUGAGGCUCGAAAGCGUGGGGAGCAAACAGG
This 397-nucleotide ribosomal RNA is filed under the name uncultured bacterium. Its description in RNAcentral is "bacterial SSU rRNA". It matches the Rfam family "Bacterial small subunit ribosomal RNA", at positions 362 to 776 of the family's 1533-position model. The record is from RNAcentral.